AUGGCGCGGUUCAACGGAGCCACUGUUCUCCUCAUCAUCAGCGCCACCGUGUCCGUCUACACCUGCGCCAUCAUCGCCGGCGCCGCACUCGGCCGAACACUGGACAGCACCGCGACGACUAAGCAGACGCCGUCGGACAGGACCCUCCGCGUCAGCGUCAGCUUCAGAGGCCUCGCCGAGGACUUCGCAAAGGAGCUCUGGGGUGGUAAUCACAGGGAAGGACGAUCAGGCAGAGGUCUCGCCGGUGCUGGUGACGGAACUGCGGUACUGUCAUCAUCCCCCGCGAGCGUCUCGCUCUCACCACGAGCCAACAGGGCGGCCGCGGCGGAUCGCGAGUCAGCGCUGCAGCCCAUGCCAGUUGCCAACUACACGCAAGUGAACAGCAGGGCCAGGGAUGACGUCCACACAAGAGCAGCAGCGAGACCGUGGUCGAGGCGCAGCAACUUCUCCGACGAGAUCACUGACGAGAAAAGGCCGGGAGGAAGAGGAGUGAUCAAGGUCGGGCCGUGGGGAGGAUCCGGCGGGGCACCUUUCUACAUGCGCGGCGGCCGCGGCGUGAGCGCCCCUCGCGUGCGCAGUGUCACCCUGCAGUACACCGACGACGCCAUCCAUUCCUUCUCUCAAAGCUCAGACGAGGCCAUGGUGAAGCAGACGCUCCAACGAGCAGAAGGUGGUGGCCAAGGUAGAGCUCGUCUAACGCCCUACGAACAGAUCAACUUUGCAUCGGAUGAGCAGCUCAUCGCAGUCGAGGGGACUUAUGGGCAUUGCAGCUAUGUUCGGGCAGUGGUUGUCACCUCGCUGACGUUCCGUACAGACAAGGGGAGAACAUACGGGCCGUAUGGCAAAGAGACCGGCACUCCCUUCUCCAUCCCGGCCGCGAAUGGAUGCAUCGUAGGCUUCUGGGGACGUUCCGGCUGGCUCCUUGACGCCAUCGGUGUUUACAUCAGGCCGUGCCAAGCUCUCAUGGCAGCUUAA
Molecule: ribosomal RNA, 975 nt
Filed under: Triticum aestivum (bread wheat)
Lineage: Eukaryota; Viridiplantae; Streptophyta; Magnoliopsida; Poales; Poaceae
Description: partial small subunit ribosomal RNA
Source: RNAcentral